Molecule: ribosomal RNA, 621 nt
Filed under: Kocuria palustris
Lineage: Bacteria; Bacillati; Actinomycetota; Actinomycetes; Micrococcales; Micrococcaceae
Description: bacterial LSU rRNA
Rfam family: Bacterial large subunit ribosomal RNA
Source: RNAcentral
UGUGGCAAGUUUUUAAGGGCGCACGGUGGAUGCCUUGGCAUCAGGAGCCGAUGAAGGACGCGGUAAUCUGCGAUAAGCCUCGGGGAGCUGAUAAACGAGCUGUGAUCCGAGGGUCUCCGAAUGGGGAAACCCCGCCGCGUGUUAUGCGUGGUGACCCGCACCUGAAUUCAUAGGGUGUGUGGAGGGAACGUGGGGAAGUGAAACAUCUCAGUACCCACAGGAAGAGAAAACAACAGUGAUUCCGUCAGUAGUGGCGAGCGAACGCGGAAGAGGCCAAACCGAUGGUGUGUGAUACCCGGCAGGGGUUGCAUCAUCGGGGUCGUGGGGCGUGUCGUCCCGGGUCUGCCGGCCCGGGCGUGUGAGUGCAGGGCGAUAGUCGAACCGGUGUGAGUGCCGGACCGGAGAGGGUGAGAGUCCCGUAGACGAAAUCGUUGCUGCCGCACGGUACGCGUACCCAAGUAGCACGGGGCCCGAGAAAUCCCGUGUGAAUCUGCCAGGACCACCUGGUAAGCCUAAAUACUACCUGAUGACCGAUAGCGGACCAGUACCGUGAGGGAAAGGUGAAAAGUACCCCGGGAGGGGAGUGAAAUAGUACCUGAAACCGUGUGCCUACAAACCGUC